AUAUUUCUCAUAUUUUCCUGGGCUUAAAAUGUCUUGAGAUAUUUUGCCACCAGCUACAGGCUGGCAUGAUGGGUAGCAUAUCUUUGGUGCAGUUGCCUUAGAUUCACUUACCUAGUUAGACCCAGAAGAAUUUCUUCUACUAGCUUUCCUGAAUGCCUUGUUUCCUCUCCUCUCGGUCUCCAAAUGGCCUGGUCAGCCUGUAGCAGUGCUCUUCCUCAUCUUCCAUCUAGCUUGAGAAGGAUGUUCUCCAUAUAGAGUUAAGUGAGUGCCUAAUCCCUCUUUUUGUAAGAUGGUUUCUUCAUCUUUGAGGAACAACAGCUCCAUCUUCAACUUUUUAAUUUUUUGAUUUUACAGUUUGGUAGAUUUCAAACUGGAAUACCUAGCAUGUGCUUGCUAAAUAAUUUUAUGCCAGCCUUAUCCUGUGUUCUAGCUGUUCUUAAUAGCAGGUGCAAAAAUGCCUCUUUUUCAGCAAGGUUGAAGUUGGGAAUGUCCUUUCAAAUCAGAAAAAAUAGGCCAUAGACUCAUUCCCCAGCACAGAUGAACAUUCUGUGAAAUGGUACUGGCCCCAGGAGGACUUCAACCGUUCCUCUACUCUUGGCCUUGAACCUACCUCUGGAUUGGAUCUUACUAUUGUAGCUGCUCACAGCAUCCUCCUGCAUGCUUAGGUAAUGCUUUGGGGGAAUACUGGUAAAACACAGUAUAUAUUUUUUCACCUCCUUUCAGAGGACUUGGAGGUAAGUUGCAUUCAUUCACUGAAGCUUCCCUCUUGCUAUCUGAUGAUAAAAGCUUGCACUUUGUUAUAUCAGCAUUUGUUAGAGCCAAUAUUUAAGAAUAAGAUUUAGAAAAUCUGUCAUGACCCAUCAUCAAACUAUGGCUUAACCUUGCAGCAUAUCAAAUCUUGUUUCAAGCUAGAUAUCUUUAUUUGAUAUCUCUAGUGCAAGACCAACAACAUAUCAAGAGAUCCAUAGACAUGAAAGCAAAGCUCUUGUGUUUUUUUCCAUCCAGACACCUCAAUUUAUUUUAUACAUUUGUUGGUUUUUCCUGUUAUGUUUUAUAUAAUAUAUGGACUUAACUACAAAAUAAAAUAACAGUAAUAAAAUAACAAAAGAGGAUAAUACUUCCUCUUGUGCU
RNAcentral lists this long non-coding RNA (1131 nucleotides) under Bos taurus (domestic cattle). RNAcentral's name for it is "long non-coding RNA NONBTAT018867". The record is from RNAcentral. Lineage: Eukaryota; Metazoa; Chordata; Mammalia; Artiodactyla; Bovidae.